UGAGGGGUGAAAUCUAGUCUU
This 21-nucleotide non-coding RNA is filed under the name Arabidopsis thaliana (thale cress). The record is from RNAcentral. Lineage: Eukaryota; Viridiplantae; Streptophyta; Magnoliopsida; Brassicales; Brassicaceae.